This 393-nucleotide ribosomal RNA is filed under the name uncultured bacterium. RNAcentral's name for it is "partial 16S ribosomal RNA". It matches the Rfam family "Bacterial small subunit ribosomal RNA", at positions 523 to 918 of the family's 1533-position model. The record is from RNAcentral.
AUACGGAGGCUCCGAGCGUUAUGUGGAUUUAUUGGGUUUAAAGGGUGCGCAGGCGGUAGAUUAAGGAGGAGGUGAAAUUUUGCGGCUUAACUGAUAAAGGGCCUGCGGAACUGGUUUACGUAGGUGGAGAUGACGUAGGGAGAAUUUGUGGUGUAGUGGGGAAAUGCAUAGAUAUUAAGAGGAACUUCGAUUGCGCAGGCAGCUUACAAUACUACUACUGACUCUCAGGCACGAAGUCGUUCCGAUCAAACAGCAUUACAUACCCUUGUAGGCCACGCGGUAAACGAUGAUUACUAGCGGUUUCCCAUACAAUGUCAGCGGCUGAUCGAAAGCCUUAAGUAAUCCACCUGUGGAAUACGAUCGCAAGUAUUAAACUCAAUUGCAUUGACUGGG